This 428-nucleotide ribosomal RNA is filed under the name uncultured bacterium. RNAcentral's name for it is "bacterial SSU rRNA". It matches the Rfam family "Bacterial small subunit ribosomal RNA", at positions 354 to 774 of the family's 1533-position model. The record is from RNAcentral.
GUAGGGAAUAUUGGACAAUGGGGGCAACCCUGAUCCAGCCAUGCCGCGUGAGUGAAGAAGGCCCUCGGGUUGUAAAGCUCUUUUGUCCGGAAAGAAAAGCAUUCGGUGAAUACCCGGAUGUUCUGACGGUACCGGAAGAAUAAGCACCGGCUAACUUCGUGCCAGCAGCCGCGGUAAUACGAAGGGUGCAAGCGUUACUCGGAAUUACUGGGCGUAAAGCGUGCGUAGGUGGUUGCUUAAGUCUGAUGUGAAAGCCCUGGGCUCAACCUGGGAAUGGCAUUGGAAACUGGGCAGCUAGAGUGCGGUAGAGGGUAGUGGAAUUCCCGGUGUAGCAGUGAAAUGCGUAGAGAUCGGGAGGAACAUCUGUGGCGAAGGCGACUGCCUGGACCAGCACUGACACUGAGGCACGAAAGCGUGGGGAGCAAACA